AUCCUAUGGUAUGGACACUUUCGCAACAAAUUCUUGAAUCGAUUCCAGGCUUCAUCGAAAUUUUUCAAGUCGCCUUGGUGAAAAACAGAGAUGUCGUGCUUGAGCUU
This 107-nucleotide small nucleolar RNA is filed under the name Olea europaea subsp. europaea. Its description in RNAcentral is "Plant small nucleolar RNA R71". It matches the Rfam family "Plant small nucleolar RNA R71". From Rfam's summary of the family: R71 is a member of the C/D box family of snoRNAs containing the C (UGAUGA) and D (CUGA) box motifs. Multiple nearly identical copies of this snoRNA have been identified in Arabidopsis, and it is thought to function as a 2'-O-ribose methylation guide for 18S ribosomal RNA. Lineage: Eukaryota; Viridiplantae; Streptophyta; Magnoliopsida; Lamiales; Oleaceae. The record is from Rfam by way of RNAcentral.